AACGAACGCUGGCGGCAGGCUUAACACAUGCAAGUCGAACGCACCUUUCGGGGUGAGUGGCAGACGGGUGAGUAACGCGUGGGAAUCUACCCUUCUCUACGGGAUAGCUCCGGGAAACUGGAAUUAAUACCGUAUACGUCCUGAGGGAGAAAGAUUUAUCGGGGAAGGAUGAGCCCGCGUUGGAUUAGCUAGUUGGUGUGGUAAAGGCCUACCAAGGCGACGAUCCAUAGCUGGUCUAAGAGGAUGAUCAGCCACAUUGGGACUGAGACACGGCCCAAACUCCUACGGGAGGCAGCAAUGGCUAAUACUGGCAUAUCGGCGCAAGCAUGAUCCAGCCAUGCCGCGUGAGUGAUGAAGGCCCUAGGGUUGUAAAGCUCUUUCAGUGGGGACGAUAAUGACGGUACCCAAAGAAGAAGCCCCGGCUAACUUCGUG
Molecule: ribosomal RNA, 433 nt
Filed under: uncultured bacterium
Lineage: Bacteria
Description: partial 16S ribosomal RNA
Rfam family: Bacterial small subunit ribosomal RNA
Source: RNAcentral